This is a small nucleolar RNA of Moschus moschiferus (Siberian musk deer), 82 nucleotides long. Its record names the gene U3. It matches the Rfam family "Small nucleolar RNA U3". Rfam says of the family: Small nucleolar RNAs (snoRNAs) are involved in the processing and modification of rRNA in the nucleolus. There are two main classes of snoRNAs: the box C/D class, and the box H/ACA class. Lineage: Eukaryota; Metazoa; Chordata; Mammalia; Artiodactyla; Moschidae. The record is from Ensembl.
UAGACUAUACUUUCAGGGAUCAUUUCUAUAGUUUGUUACUAGAGAAGUUUCUCUGAACGUGUAGCGUACCCGAUAAAGGAUU